GCUGGAUGUAGUAUUUGGAGUGGUGUUUGGAGUCGUGGUCGGCUGAGGUUUACCAUUGUGAAGCGUAGCUUGAUUCUUACAUGUUGCUUAGGAGUGUUGCAGGUGUUCUCUCCUUCCACCUCAAGGGCAGAAACUUUCAGCAGUGACUACUCCCCAGAGCUGCCUGGUGAGCAACACCCUCCAGUGUUACAGAUGAGGAAACCAGGCAAAGUAAAUGGCACUCAAGAGGAGAUGGUCCAGAGUUUCUGCUUUCCUGGAGAACCAUCCGCCCCAUCACUGCUUUGGCGUAACUGAUCACAGAUCUUGAAAUGGAAUGUGUGUGUGUGGAAAAACAUCACUUACGGUGAAAAAAGUAAAUUCUCUGUGACUCAGUUGGACCAGGAUGAGAUAAUGCUGUUGGUCAACAACUCGGCAGGUGGGGAAGCAGGUUCAGAGGCUUCCACAUAGCCUUUCCAGCUAUGAUGGAUCUUACUCCACAGAAGAAUGAACCAAAGGGAAGGUUCUUGCAACUCCCAAAUACAUUCAUUACAAAUAAACAUUCAACGUCUA
This 549-nucleotide long non-coding RNA is filed under the name Equus asinus (donkey). RNAcentral's name for it is "lncRNA (ENSEASG00005024570.1)". Lineage: Eukaryota; Metazoa; Chordata; Mammalia; Perissodactyla; Equidae. The record is from RNAcentral.